AAAUCGUACCCCAAACCGACACAGGUGGUCAGGUAGAGAAUACCAAGGCGCUUGAGAGAACUCGGGUGAAGGAACUAGGCAAAAUGGUGCCGUAACUUCGGGAGAAGGCACGCUGAUAUGUAGGUGAAGUGAUUUACUCAUGGAGCUGAAAUCAGUCGAAGAUACCAGCUGGCUGCAACUGUUUAUUAAAAACACAGCACUGUGCAAACACGAAAGUGGACGUAUACGGUGUGACGCCUGCCCGGUGCCGGAAGGUUAAUUGAUGGGGUUAUCCUCGCGGAGAAGCUCUUGAUCGAAGCCCCGGUAAACGGCGGCCGUAACUAUAACGGUCCUAAGGUAGCGAAAUUCCUUGUCGGGUAAGUUCCGACCUGCACGAAUGGCGUAAUGAUGGCCAGGCUGUCUCCACCCGAGACUCAGUGAAAUUGAACUCGCUGUGAAGAUGCAGUGUACCCGCGGCAAGACGGAAAGACCCCGUGAACCUUUACUAUAGCUUGACACUGAACACUGGUCCUUGAUGUGUAGGAUAGGUGGGAGGCUUUGAAGUGUGGACGCCAGUCUGCAUGGAGCCGCCCUUGAAAUACCACCCUUUAAUGGCUGGUGUUCUAACGUGGGCCCGUAAUCCGGGUUGCGGACAGUGUCUGGUGGGUAGUUUGACUGGGGCGGUCUCCUCCUAAAGAGUAACGGAGGAGCACGAAGGUCAGCUAAUCCUGGUCGGACAUCAGGAGGUUAGUGCAAUGGCAUAAGCUGGCUUGACUGCGAGCGUGACGGCGCGAGCAGGUGCGAAAGCAGGUCAUAGUGAUCCGGUGGUUCUGAAUGGAAGGGCCAUCGCUCAACGGAUAAAAGGUACUCCGGGGAUAACAGGCUGAUACCGCCCAAGAGUUCAUAUCGACGGCGGUGUUUGGCACCUCGAUGUCGGCUCAUCACAUCCUGGGGCUGAAGUAGGUCCCAAGGGUAUGGCUGUUCGCCAUUUAAAGUGGUACGCGAGCUGGGUUUAGAACGUCGUGAGACAGUUCGGUCCCUAUCUGCCGUGGGCGCUGGAGAACUGAGGGGGGCUGCUCCUAGUACGAGAGGACCGGAGUGGACGCAUCACUGGUGUUCGGGUUGUCAUGCCAAUGGCACUGCCCGGUAGCUAAAUGCGGAAGAGAUAAGUGCUGAAAGCAUCUAAGCACGAAACUUGCCCCGAGAUGAGUUCUCCCUGACUCCUUGAGAGUCCUGAAGGAACGUUGAAGACGACGACGUUGAUAGGCCGGGUGUGUAAGCGCAGCGAUGCGUUGAGCUAACCGGUACUAAUGAACCGUGAGGCUUAACCUU
This 1311-nucleotide ribosomal RNA is filed under the name Citrobacter sp. CK205. Its description in RNAcentral is "partial 23S ribosomal RNA". It matches the Rfam family "Bacterial large subunit ribosomal RNA", at positions 1639 to 2925 of the family's 2925-position model. The record is from RNAcentral. Lineage: Bacteria; Pseudomonadati; Pseudomonadota; Gammaproteobacteria; Enterobacterales; Enterobacteriaceae.